RNAcentral lists this ribosomal RNA (497 nucleotides) under uncultured bacterium. RNAcentral's name for it is "partial 16S ribosomal RNA". It matches the Rfam family "Bacterial small subunit ribosomal RNA", at positions 28 to 507 of the family's 1533-position model. The record is from RNAcentral.
GAUGAACGCUGGCGGCGUGCCUAAUACAUGCAAGUCGAGCGAACAGACGAGGAGCUUGCUCCUCUGACGUUAGCGGCGGACGGGUGAGUAACACGUGGAUAACCUACCUAUAAGACUGGGAUAACUUCGGGAAACCGGAGCUAAUACCGGAUAAUAUAUUGAACCGCAUGGUUCUAUAGUGAAAGACGGUUUUGCUGUCACUUAUAGAUGGAUCCGCGCCGCAUUAGCUAGUUGGUAAGGUAACGGCUUACCAAGGCAACGAUGCGUAGCCGACCUGAGAGGGUGAUCGGCCACACUGGAACUGAGACACGGUCCAGACUCCUACGGGAGGCAGCAGUAGGGAAUCUUCCGCAAUGGGCGAAAGCCUGACGGAGCAACGCCGCGUGAGUGAUGAAGGUCUUCGGAUCGUAAAACUCUGUUAUUAGGGAAGGACAAAUGUGUAAGUAACUAUGCACGUCUUGACGGUACCUAAUCAGAAAGCCACGGCUAACUACGUG